Molecule: ribosomal RNA, 253 nt
Filed under: uncultured bacterium
Lineage: Bacteria
Description: partial 16S ribosomal RNA
Rfam family: Bacterial small subunit ribosomal RNA
Source: RNAcentral
UACGGGGGGAGCAAGCGUUGUUCGGAUUUAUUGGGCGUAAAGAGCUCGUAGGCGGUUUGUCGCGUCUGCCGUGAAAGUCCGGGGCUCAACUCCGGAUCUGCGGUGGGUACGGGCAGACUAGAGUGAUGUAGGGGAGACUGGAAUUCCUGGUGUAGCGGUGAAAUGCGCAGAUAUCAGGAGGAACACCGAUGGCGAAGGCAGGUCUCUGGGCAUUAACUGACGCUGAGGAGCGAAAGCAUGGGGAGCGAACAGG